UUGGCUCAGAAUGAAUAGCAGUGCCUGUAGGACUUUUCUCGCUUAGUUUAGCAUUAAAACAAUCAGAUUUCUCACUCAGAGAAUUUCCUACCAACUUCAGUCCAGCUUGUGCUUCAACAAGUGAACUUGUCUUGGAUGGAUUACCCUGAAAUCAAAUGUGGCUUGAAUAUUAGAGUUCCUACCAUAUAGCAAAAAUAUAGAGUACUAAAGGACUACCAAGAACAAUAGAACAAUAAUUUUAAAAAAUACAAUCUUUUUUUGCAAAAAAAUUUAGAGAAUAAAAAUAACUUCACUUAUAAAUAGGACAAAAAUCAUGAUUGUGACCAAACCGUAUAUUUAUAAAUACAGAGCACUAAGGCAAAGGAAUAAAAGAGAGUAGAGCAUGAGAAUUGUGAGGGAGAACACGAGAAUUACAGAAAAUCCUUGUAAGUCUGCAACCAGACAUUAAAAAAUGAAAACUACAAGAUUCAUUACAUCAAAAGGAAGAAAACAUAGAAGAAUAAUAUGAGAUCUUAUUAACCUUGUGUCUUGGAAACAUGGACAUGUCAAUAAAAUCUAAAUGCACAGGUAUUUGACAGGUAUGACAAAGCCGUACUUCACAGACAUCUAGUCUUGUGUUUUGUACUCUAUAAAUUAAUAUUGUUGGGACUAGAAAAUUUAAUUAAUUUAGAGAGUUAUUAUUUAAUCGAUAAAUUAAUAAUUUAUUAAUUUAAAUAGUGUUUUUCUAUUCGGUGAACAUAAAUUUAAUUACAUUAAAAUUAUUUCAUUUUAUUGAUAUUUAUAUCAUACUUUUUUUGAUGCAAUAUAUCAUGCUUAUUAAAUUAAUGUAUCACACUUGUGAGGAUAAUACAAUACCUUUGGAGCCAAUAACGCGAAAGGAAGCACUCAUAGCGUCAACAACUUUUUAAAAGUUUUUAUUACAAUUCGAGAAUGCAACACUUGAACUUUUGGACGCAAUGAAAAAAAUUAAGAAUGAAAUUCAAUUAGAUUUGAAUUACAAGACAAAACAAACGAGAAUAGAAUCCUAUUUUACAAUAUUACCCUAGAUAUAUUCGUAAUUUAAAAGAAUUAUUAAUUUAUGAUUUUGAUGGGACCAUAUAUUUAUAUAAGGGUCUUUUUAAAAAUUAUUAUUUUAUCAAAAUUAUUAAUUUAUCCCAUUAACCCAAGUCGAGACUGGAAAAAAAAAUAUUAUUUUAGAGAGAUUAUUAAUUUAUCGAGUAUUAAUUUAUAGACUCCAUGUUUCCAUUGUCCAUAUGCAAAUUCUUCAUUGUGAAUUGUAACAUGUUCCUGGCACACUAUAAAGCACUAACCAAUAUGAGACUAAUAAAGUUCGACUAAAAGACAAUUAGCAUCCCAAACUUUACACCCAUGUUGAUUUUUGCACCCCAAACUAAAAAAGGUGUCUAAGUACACCCCAAACUUCAAUUAAACGUAACAGAAAGCACACUUUCAUCAGUUAACCGGUCAAAAGUGACCGGCUAAGGCUGUAAUAAUGUUUAAUACAUAGGGGUAAGCUUGGUAGUUUACAUUUAUUGCAAAUUGCAGUUACAUUUACACUGGAUAUUUACUCAUGUUGGUUAUCAGACAAAUAUCCCCAAAUCAGUUGGGCUAGGGUUCGCAAUUUGAAGGAGAAGCGGAACAAUGAGUGAUUCGCGAUUCUUGAGGGAUUCAGAAGACAAUGACGUUUAUGGAGUGAAGGGUGUCCUAGAAUACCGUAAGUACUUCAAAGAAUAUCUUGAAUAAUGGGUUGGUGUCGCCUUGCUGUAUUCUUUUUGUAGUUUAUUGUGUUUUUUUGUAGUUUAUUGACUUCUUUUUGUUGUAAACUGGAAUGGUAUCCAUCAUUGAAUAGUAUACAGCUGGGUAGUGGACCCUUUUGAUGAUCAAAUAUAAGAUUCUUUACUCUUUUCUUAAAAUUUUUGGAUUUUAGUCAAUUAAAUAUGAUGUGGUCCACACAUUUAACUGACAGUAUUUACUUUGUGUUUGUCGCUAUGCAGGCAAUAAGGAGUAUUUUACAGUCAAAUUUUUUCAUGGUGGACACUUUGAAGAGAGCCCACAUAAACAGUACGUGGGAGGUACUUUUAAUUUUUUUGAUUUCUGUCAUCCUGAUUACAUCUCUUUACUUGAUAUAUGUAACAUGAGGAAUGAGUUAGGAUAUCAAGUUGGACACCUAAAGUUCCAUUAUAUUCAAUUGAUAUGGAGAGGGGAUUAUAGGAGUUAGAAAAUGAUGAUGUUUUAACAAUGUGUUUGCUUAUCCCUUUUAGGACUAAUUGAAAUAUAUUUGGAGGUGAUUAGACCUGUGGGAGUAGAAGCUGACUUUGAAGUUGAAGGUGAUAAUAUUAAUGAAUGCAGAGAUUUGAUAUCAAUUGGGGAUGAUGAAAUAGAGUCAACUGAUGAAAGUUAUGUGGAUAGUUCUGUGGGAGAAUCAAAUGAGGAUGAAGAGGAUGAUGUAAUUGGGGAGCGGGAUGAGGGUGAUCAUACUGGGGGGGGGGACUGAGAGUGAUGAAUUUGGGGAGGGGGUAGAGGGUGAUCAAACUGGGGGGGACUGAAGAUGGGGUAGAGGAUGAUCAGACUAGGGAGACUGAGAAUGGGGCAAAUGGUGAUCAGACUAGGGGGACUGAGGAUGGGGCAACUAACAAAGGGAAGGGAAGGGUGCAACUGUAACACAUAAAGGCAAAGGCAAAGGAAAAGGAACAAGAUUUGCCACUAACAAAGGGAAGGGAAAACAAACUGCAAAAACCCAAACUUCACAAGAAGAACCACAUGAACCAGGAUUUUCAUCAUAGUCAGAUGACUCUGAUGUGGAAAGGAUGCCUAGGGUUGAUGAGUUUGACCCUGAACCACCUGAACAAGAACAUAAAGGGUAUCCAAAAUUUAGGGAAGGUGUCAUAGAGGAUCCAAAGUUUGAGUUGGGAAUGACAUUUACCAAUGUCACUGAAGUGAGGGCAACAAUCAGAAAUCAUGGCAUCAGACAAGGAAGGUGUAUUUCAAGAACCUGUCAUAUAAGAUCCAUGUAAAGUGUGUGGAGCCAUGUACAUGGUACUUUUAUGAUGCAAAGGUGCAAAGAGAGCUCACAUUUGAAAUCACUAGGUUACAAAAAGUGCAUACUUGUUGCAGAGAGGGGGAUAAUUAUUGUAUAAAUGCAGAGUGGAUUGCCAAAAAAUAUGAAGAUGAUCUUCGAAUGAAUCCAACAUGGGGAUUAGAUCAGUUUCAUACUAAAGUAGUUAAAGACUUGGAUAUUGGAUUAUAAAGGAGCCUAAUAUACAGAGCUCAGAAAAGAGCAAUGAAAAACAUUGAAGGGAGUGCUGAGGAGGAGUAUGGAUUGGUUUUGGACUAUGCUGCAAAGCUUAGAAGAGUCAUGCCUGGGAGUACUUGUGUCUUGAAGAGAGCAGGGACAAGACUUAGGCAGAUUUUUGAGAUUUUAUGUCUGUCUGCAGCCACUAAAAGAAGAAUUUAAAUUGGGGUGUAGACCAUUGGUGGGGCUUGAUGGUUGUUUUCUCAAAGGACCAUAUAAAGGUCAGUUAUUGACUAUAGUUGGUGUUGACCCUAACAAUGGGAUGUGGCCAGUUGCUUGGGCCAUUGUUGAAUCUGAGAACACUCAGUCUUGGGUGUGGUUUAUGAACUUGCUGGUGGAAGAUCUUGGGAUUGCAAAUGAUGGAGGCUGGACAUUCAUUUCAGAUAAACAAAAGGUAUAAACAUCUCUCCAUUUAUAUAUAUUUUAUUCCAUCAAUUAUUACAUUGAUUGCAUGUUUCUGAUAAAUUACCUCUUUGUCCCUAGGGUUUGAUUAAUGUUUUAGAAGAUGUGGUCCCAAGUGCUGAACACAGACAUUAUGUUAUGCAUUUAUAUAGGAACUUUUGGCAAAAACAUAAAGGCUCUGAAUUAAGAAAAUUGGUUUGAAAUGCUGCCAAAGCUACAAAUCCGUGUCUUUCAAAAGGCAAUGGAGGUGUUAAAAAAAGAAAGAUAAGAGUGCAUAUGAAUGGUUAGCUCCUAAGCUACCUACUCAGUGGAGUAGGUCUCAUUUUCAGACCAUAUGCAAAAGUGACAUGUAUGUCAAUAACCAUUGUGAGGUAUUUAAUAGAAAAAUUCUUAAGGCUAGAGUGAAACUAGGGUGUCUAAAAGGACUUAGAUUAUAUUGCAUGAAUAGGAUUGUUAAAAGGAGAGAAAUGAUGUUGAAACAUAAUGUAGUGUGCCCUAGAAUAGCUAAAAAGGUAGAAAAAUGGAAAGGUCAGGUAGGGGUGGAUUGUCAUUGUGGUCAGGUGGUGGUGGGAGGUUUACAGCGACUAUGACUUCUGGGGGUUAUUCAUUUGUGGUGGAUUUGGCGAAUAAAACAUGUACUUGUAGGAGGUAGGAUUUGUCUGGAAUACCUUGUGCUCAUGCUAUGUCAUGCAUUAACAAAAUAGAACAUGAUGUACACGAGUGUUUAACCAAGGACAUGUAUCUAAAGGUUUACAGUCACAACAUUGAGCCUAUAAGGCACAGAUCUGAGUGGGAUCCUACUGGGAUUGAGCCACCUUUGCCACCAGUUAAACAUACUCAAGUAGGCAGGCCUAAAGUUGUUAGGAGGAAAAGUAAUGAUAUUACAUAAUCAAAUCCAGAAGGUACAAGUUUGAAGAGAAAAGGAACAUUAUUGAAAUGUAGAUUUUGCAAGGAAUGGGGUCACAAUUCAAGAAGGUGUCCUCAAGUAAGUUAAGUGUGUUUUUAUUUAUGUGCUUUUUCAAGAUCCUAUAUUGGGUUUAAUACAUUUCUUUUUGUCUGUUUUUAGAAACUGAAUAAGCAGCCAGAUGUGAUUUCACAAUCUUCACAGGCUCCAUAAAGUCAAUCAUCUCAACCUCCUCCAAAGGCUAAGAGGGCUAAAAAGGUUACUCAAGCUUCUCAACCUCCAUCAAUGACAGCAACACAUGAGUCUACAAUGGAGCCAGGUGGAAUGAAUGUUGAGCAAGAGCAAGCAGGAGGUUCUACAAAGUGGCAAGGUGGAAUCCAUUAUGAGGGUAGACAAAGAAAUGACUCAAAUGAUAUAUUACAACCCAAAGAAUACACAUGGAAGGGAAAACAAUAUACAACACCAGGAGACCUAGAAGCUGUAACAAGAUCUAAAAGAGAGAAAAUUCAGUUUAGGAAACCAAACAGUGAAGGGCCUACUACAAAUAAAUAGUGUUUGGAUGGGAUUUUUGGAAUCUUUUUGUUCUUUUUUGGGGUACUAAGCUUAUGAAUUAUUGAUGUAUAUAUCCAGUUUAGGGUAUUUUUUGGGGACUACUGUAGAUAAUUGCUCCUAAGCUUAUGAAUUAUUGAUGUAUGUAUGUUGCCUAGGGCCAAGAAGGUGUGGCUGGGAUUGUAAAUUGCAGUGUAUGAUGCAUUUUGUUAAUAGGCAUGUUAAGACAACUGUUUUGAAUUGCCUCUGAUUUGUGGAAUGUACUGGGAAUUAAUUACUUAAUUGAAUGGCAAUAGCAGUUCCUCGAAGUUUAUAACAGUUUGGUUUUCUAUUGAAUUGUUUUUAUUUAGAGCAGUUUGAUUAGAACAUUUUUUACCAUUGUGUGGUUAUUAUAACAGUUGGGUAAUUGCAAUGUAUGAUGCAGUAUGGUUUGUGCAUUAAAGCAAGGAUUGCUAUUAUAGCAGUAUGGUUUUGAAUUGCCUCUGCUUUUUGUUAAUUGAAUGGUAAUAAAAGCUUACAACAUUAAUGUUGAGCUUAAUUGAAUUGCCUCUGGUAAUUGAAUGCCUAUGUUUUGUGCAUUAAUGCAGGGCUUGCUAUUAUAGCAGUAUGGUUGGUGUGCAAGUGAUGUGCAACAGAUAUCAUAACUUGCACACCAACCAUUUUACUGUAAACUUGCACCAAUUCACACAUGCACAAUAAUAAAAAUUUAACAGGUUUACAUAACUAUUGAUUCAUAGAAAGUGCCAUAAAUUACAACCAAUAAACUUCCCACAAAAUAGAUGCCCAGCAAUUACAUUCCAUAUUACUCCUAAUUUCUACUACUAUAUUGCUUAAUUGUCAAUCCCAUAAAUUCCAUUCCCAGUAAUUGCCCACAAGUUGUUUGUUUUCAAGUCUAGAGGGGUGUUUCAUACUUUGUUGAGAUGAACAUGAAAUAGAAAAUCAAAACCCAAGUUGCAGUCAACAGACCCUUUGCAGACCUUGCCCUAUAUCUACACUCUUUUAAUUAUCUUUUAGAGCUUUGAAUUCAGCAUCCAAAUUAUCUAAUCUUCUAAUUAAUCCAGGUAUUACUUCCCUUGAACGCUCACACAUCGGAGGAUCAACCCAAGCGAAGAAAUUACAACCAUCGUGCCCAUCUUCACACCAAUCUGAACAACCAAGGAAUCUUCUCCCGGCAUUGUUUGAGCUUCUCCAAGCCGUCUUCAUCUCUGAUUUCUUCAUGCACCAGCAAUUUCAAUCCAUGAUCCCUAAUUUUUCUUGAUUUUCUUGAUUGAAUUUCUUGGAUUUACAAUCUAAUCGAGCUGCACGUAUGCUACUGAAUCACUUUGAGCUUUAGUAGCUUGUUCCAGCUCAAUGUUGGAGAAUAUAAGAAGGAAAAGACUUAAACACCCCUCCAGAUCCACAUGUGUGCCUUAACCGGUCACUUUUGACCCGUUAACUGAUGAAAGUAUGCUUUCUGUUACGUUUAAUUGAAGUUUGGGGUGUACUUAGACACCUUUUUCAGUUUGGGGAACAAAUUGUCUUUUAGUCGUAAAGUUCAAAUGUUGAGAUACAAAUUUACUCUAAUAUAUAAUUCACAAUUUUUAAUAAUUAGAGACAAUGUUCAGAUCAUGAUGCUAAAUUCACGAGUGUUCUUGGAAAUCGGAAAGUCUCCAUGGGUUACAGACAAUUAGAGUACAAGUUAUAUACAAUGUAAAAUGAGUGAAAGCGUCUCGGAAAAGAGUACUAAAGCGUACUGUAAACCUAAACAUCAAACCGGCUAAACCUACCCCCACAUACUGUUAUACAGGUAAGUUGACAUACCGCGUCCCCAUACUCGUACCACAUACCAAAACACACCCAUAGUUGUCACGUCGCCACGACGAGACACCCAUAGUUGUCACGGCGCCUAGGCGAUAAGGCGCCCGCCAUGGCAUCGAAGAGGCUGGUUUUCUUUUUCGAGCAAAUUUGGGUGUGCGCUCUACUUGUUCUUCGGGCUCUUCGUCAGAAAUAACGAUUUCAACCGAGGUGAUUGGCGGAAGAUCGGUUUCUGUGGGAUGUACUUGUGGUUCUUCGGCGGCUGGAGGAGUUAGGUGGAUUUUCCUCUUUUUAGCACGAAGGACUCAGGUCCGUUCGUCAAGGGGCAUAUCGAGGAGGCACUUGUUGUAAGUUUGUAUGGGGGUGUGUUUGGGUUUUUAGCCAGCUCGCUUUCUUCGGCGAGGUUGGCUUGUCCCUUCAGUGGCUGGCUCGGUGACUUGAGCUUCUGAAGUUGAAGGCUCUUCGGUUGGUACUUCAGUAGGGGUCGGUGAAGAUGAACCCGAAAGGAAUCUGUCUAGAUCCCUUCGGUCAAUCGACGUCGAUUUGAUCAGAGACACUGCGAAAGAUGAAGAACAAUCAUUUAGAAUAAUUACUGAUGGAAAUUGGUAAAGUUAUACAAUAAAUUGGGUUCAGGACUUAAAUUUAUGGUCGUAUAACCAUGCUUGUUUGCUCAGAAGUCCAAAGCUCCAUUCCUUGAUGGGAAUCUUCUCUAAAACUCGCCAUUUCUCUUACACGUUCCUUUGAAAUAUCUCUGAUGUUUGCAGAGAUGCGAUCAAAAAUGGUCCAGUCGGGUAUGGAGGAGACUCCAGGUCCUUUGACAAAGAACCACUCCUUAUGCCAUCCCUGGUAGCUCGAAGGAGUGUCCAUCAGAGGUCGCUUCUCGAACCUGGCAUUAGGUUUGGGGGAUUGUUUGCUCAGCAUCUUGAAGCCUCGUUCCCGAGAUUUACUGGCUAUGAAGAGGGUAAAGAAGAAAUCGAUAGCAGGUGGAAUCCCUUGUUCGUGGCAGAAGACGAUAAAUGCCAAGAUGUGGAUGUAGGAGUUCGGGAAAAGCUGGGCAAGUCCCAUGCCUACGAACCCUAGUAGAGUAAUAACGAAGGCAUGGAAGGGUAGGCGAACUCCCUUUUCGAGAAGGGUCACCGGCAUGGCGGUCCAGCCUUCGGGUCUCUGAUACAUUCGUUCCUGCGGAGCUGGAGCCCUUACCAGAUGGGGAUCCGAAAUAUGGUAGCGGGUCCGAAGGUUGCGCAACUCAAUCUCAGUGAUAGUGGAAGGGGUAUUGGUAUGAGGAAAGUAUUCUUCACUCUUGAAGAAUUCUGAAGGAUUUUGUGGUGGAUUCUUGCUAGGAGUAGCAACAGAUUUGGGGUUUGGACCUGAAGCUUCUUUGAUAGGGCUUGGAGGAAUAGAGGUGAUGGGAGUCACAGAGAGGGGAACCUCUUCGCCGAAAGUUUGAGAAGCCAUGAAUGUUGAUUUGCAGGAAGAAAGAGAAAUCUGGAGGAAGAAGGCGGGAGACGUCUGAAAUUCAUAUUGGCAGGUAAAACUGUCAAAUUUGGGAAAAGGCAGUUUUUAUACUGACGGACUCUUCAAUUUUUCACGAAGUUCGAGGGCGGCACCUUAAAUGGAGGCAAUGAUGGUGAAUUUGAAGGGGUGGCGUCUGAUUUUGGUCUUAAGAUAUUAACCGGAUUGGGAUUCUCAAUUGGGCUUCCGGUUGAGAUUUACCAGUUGGGCCUCGGUGAGUUUCAUUUUGGGCCUCUGAUUAAUCUUAUCAUGAUUCCUUUUAUCCUAGACCAAUGACAUUUAUACUCUUUCAUUAAACAUCCUGUUUAAUAAAAGACUGGGGGGCAAUGUUUGGCCAUAAUACUUUAGACAUGUUGGGUGGGUCUUGAAAGUAUUGGGUCGGUUCAUUGGGUGGAUAAUAUCUUUAUAUGGGGCCAAUGGAGCAUUGGGUCGAGACAGUGGGCCGAACCAUUGGAUGAGUAUGGUUCCACUUGGGCUUUGACCGGUGAUGAUUAUGGGGUUAAACUUUGACUGUCAUCUCUGUAUUUUAUUUAAUGAGGAUUGGACAGGGCCUAGUCGGUGGAAGGCUGUGGGCCAGGAGAGGUCUAUUGCAUACAGGACAAACCGGGAUUAGAGUAUAUGAGGACAAGGAUAACACACAAUGGAAGGAAACUGAUCAUUUUCUCUCUCAAGACUCUAGAUAUUUUAUUCCUCCAUUGUUAAACCUUGUGAUCGCAUGUACCGACUCUCAGGCCGGAGCUAUCACCUGACGGUCCAAGCCGUUAAGCUUCUGGUAUUGACGUGUUUAUUGUGCAGGAUUAGACGCGUGUUACGUGAUUGAGGCGCGUGGAAAGAUCUUGGCGUUAACAGUAACAAAACGCACACUUUCUUCACUUAACUGGUCAAAAGUGACCGGCUAAGGCUGUAACACAAGUUUGGGGUGCAAAUUGUCUUUUCGUCUUAAAAAUUGACAAAAAUAAAUAAUUUUAAAUAAAAUAAAAUAAUUAAUUAUAAAUAAAAAAAUUAAUUUUAAAAAUAAAAAUAAAAUAAUUAAUUUUAAAAUAAAAUAAUUAAAAUAAUAAAAUUAUAAUAAAUAUUUGGAAUUAAUGAUUAAUAAUUAAUCAUUAACUUGUAAAAUGAUUAUUUUAUUUUAUUUUCAAAAUUAAUUAUUAAUCAUUCCGGUUAAAAAAAUCAUUAACUUGUAAAAAAAUCAUUUUUGCCACAAAAAAAAAUUCUAUUUUUGUUUUUAAAAACAAAAUUUUGUAAAAACAAAAUUUUUAAAAAUAGAAUUUUUUUUAAAACAGAAUUUAUCAAAAACAGAAUUUUAUUUUAUAAGUUAAAAAAAAAUUUGUUUUUGUUUUUUAAAACAGAAUUUUUUUUAAAACAAAAAAUUUAAAAACAGAAUUUUGUAAAAAUAGAAUUGUUUUAAAACAAAAUUUUUUAAGAACAUAAUUUUAUUUUACAAGUUAAAAAACCAAUCUGUUUUUGUUUUAAAAAACAGAAAUUAUUUUUAAAACACAAUUUUUUAAAACAUAAUUUUAUUUUACAAUGGAGAGAGAGAUUAAUAAAAUGUUUACAUAUAAAAUUCUGUUUAAAAAAAAUCUGUUUUUAAAAACAAAAACAGAAUUUUUUUUAACUUGUAAAAUAAAAUUCUAUUUUUUAAAAUUUUUGUUUUAAAAAAAAUUGUGUUUUUACAAAAAUCUGUUUUUAAAAACAAAAAUAGAAUUUUUUAUUAACUUGUAAAAUAAAAUUCUGUUUUUGAAAAAUUCUAUUUUAAAAAAAUUUCUAUUUUUAAAAAUUUUGGUUUUACGAAAUUCUGUUUUUAAAAACAAAAACAAAUAUUUUUUUUAUGUGGCAAAAAUGAUUUUUUACAAGUUAAUGAUUUUUUUAACCUGAAUGAUUAAUAAUUAAUUUGAAAAAUAAAAAUAAAAUAAUCAUUUUACAAGUUAAUUAUUAAUUAUUAAUCAUUAAUUCCAAAUAUUUAUUUUAAUUUUAUUAUUUUAAUUAUUUUAUUUUUAAAUUAAUUAAUUAUUUUUUAUUUUUAUUUUUAAAAUUAAUUAUUUUAAAAUUAUUUCAUUUUAUUUAAAAUUAAUUAUUUUUGCCAAUUUUUAAGACAAAGACAAUUUGCACCCCAAACUUGUGUUACAGCCUUAGGCGGCAACUUUUGACCGGUUAAGUGAAGAAAGCGUGCGUUUUGUUACAUAUAAUGAAGUUUGGGGUGUACUUAGACAUCUUUUUAAGUUUGGAGUGCAAAAGUAAAUAGAAAGUGAAGUUUGGGGUGCAAAUUGUCUUUUAGUCCACAAGUUAUUUAGACUACGAAAUAUUUGAUAUUGGAAUUGAUUAUUUCAUUCAUACUGUAGAGGUAUUUUAUCUAUCUUGGUGUUGAUACGUGGAGUUGAUACACUUGAGAGAUCCUAGUGGUUUACUUAUAAACUUUCCUUACUGUCUUUGGUCUAGUGCUGGCGCUGCUGUGCCAGCUUCCCUUCUCUAUGCCGCGCUGCGGCGUCACACUUCAGUGGCUGAUGUCCGGACUCGGCGCUGCGCCGCGAGUCUUAGUUCAGUUGGCUGUGCUGCGACGCGGAAUUUCAAGAGGUUAUGGCAUUUCUCGGCGCUGCAACGCCACCUAUUUGGCCUUGGGCUGGCGUCGCGACGCCAACUCUGUGCACCAGAAACUUUUGACAGAUUUUAAACUUUGUGAAAUUUCCGGACUCCAAAUUUGAUCAUUUCAAGUCCGAAUUGGCUCGUUCAAAAGCCAAUAGCUCACAAAUCACAUACUCUACGUGUUCAUGCAAGAAUUUUACAUUUUCGACUUCGUUAACUCAAAAUUCACCUUUUAGUUCAUUUUAACGAAAACGAUAAACGUUCGUGAACGUUCAACGCUCGUUUCUUCGUUCUAAAUCGGAAUUCGGUCAUUUUCGAGUCUGCAACUCUAUAAUGACAAAUAAGACUUGUUCCCAUCGAAAACCAACGUUUCCAAGCUUAAUAUCAAAAUUUGACUUUCAUUCCGAGAAUUUCAUGAAUUCGACGAUUAUCGUCUAAUCGUGUGAAUUUCGGCAUAACUUCGUUACUUAUGAUUUGUUCAUCGUUUAAAAUGGAUUCUUUCCAUCAUACUAACAUCUGAACAUACAUAUGUCAUUAACUUAUAUACAUGAUAAGUUUCUUACUUAUUCUCUCUUAGUUCAUAACUUAUCAACUUAUGAUUUCACUUCACAUGAUUUAUCAUGAUUUUAAUCUUCUAACCAUCAUCCUCACACCUCCUUAUCAUACAAAUUUUAUUCAUGUAAACAUAUUACAAGUUCUUCCUUAGUUCAUAACUUAUAUAUGAAUGAAUUGCUUAUUCUUGGCUUAUUAAGGUUUAAGUCCUUUGAUUAACCAUUCUCUUUACUUCCUAGCAUACAUACUUCACUAAUCCACACUUCUCUAUCAAACUAGUAUUGAAGAGUUGGAAGAUUAAUGAUAUAAGAGUCUUACCCUUGAUGAUCAAGCUUGUUCUUCUUCUUUUCUACUAAUGAAUGUCUAGCUUAUUCUUACUUAUUCUCUCUAACAAAUAAGUUGAAAGUUGUUGGAUGAAAUGAACAAGUGUAAAAAUGAUCCAACUAUCCCUCUAUUUAUAGGAUUGCUAAGGUUAGGGUAUAUUAGUCAAUAAACAUCCCACCUCCUUAACAACCUCCUUACUAUUCCUUACUUGGUCAUUAAGUUUACUUGGCCUCCACAAAUCUUAUCUCUUGCUUGGCCACCAAGAUCACCCAUGUGAUCAUGGGUUACCCAUGGGUCAUGCAUACCCAUGGAUUCUUAGUUUGGGCUUAAGGUUUAAAUAACAUAACUUAUACUUUGGGCUUGCAUUAAACUAACAUUAGCUUGUUCAUUAACAAACACUUGGGCUUUAACAUAAUUUCCAUUGGACUUUACAACUUCCUCCUAUAUCCUACAAGUCCAUUACAUAUGGCUUUAAGCCUUAUAACGUAUUGUCUACGUAUUAAUCUCGUAUUCCAACUCGUAUACUCAUUUAUCAUAUACGACAUACCAUCAUUCACACAUACUCGUAUAAUACCUCGUAUUAUACUCGUAUUCAUUACCUCGUACAUAUCCUACGUAUCAUACGAUCAUCGCUUUAACUCAUUAACGUUUCACUUUCCCUAACGUUCUCGAAUUAAGUCCGCGUGCGAAAAAGUUCAUUUUCCAUACUCGAAUUAUUAUUACAUAAUCCAUCUUCCCUUGAUAUUUUAUUAUUACGUAUUUCUCGGAAGUUCAAAAAUAAUUCCCGAGCAGAAAUGCGUGAAUAGUGUUUUUCGAAAAAUUUCUCGGAAAGCUUUUAUUUUCGUCUUGAAAAUUCAAACACUUUAAUUCCUUCACGUAGCCAAAAUACUACGACGUUCCAACAUAUCUAGGUUAUAGAAUGACAUUCAUCUUACUAACACAUAAUAACAUAUAAUAUAAUUUUAUUCAUUAUUUAAUUAAAUAAAAUUAUUUUACAAUAAAUCUGAAUUUCUCAGUCGUUACAUUAACAAUGAUUGUUUUGGUGCUUUGCCUGUCUAUCCUGUGAUUUGGAGUGUUGUAUAAUCCUUUGAUAUCAUUUGGAAAGUUUAUUCUCCUUGGUAUAGAUUGUAUCUCCCUAUUAAUACCAUUUUAUGGCGGAACAAAAUGGUGCUAACAGUGAGGUUCAGAACAGUAGAAUGGAACAACAAGGCUUGUUUAAACUCUUAAUGUAGCAUUGGCUCUCAGCCCUUUUAAACUGGAUGGAACCAACUAUUUAGCAUGGUCUCGAGCAUGUCACAUGCCAAUUGAGGCCAAUCGUAUGCAACACUUCAUCAAUGGAACAACCACUUUGCUUGAGAAGGGUUUGCCCCAAGAAGAAUGGAAAUCUAAUAAUUUUAUGGUAAAAACAUGGAUUUUUAAUUCCAUGUAACCUAGCAUGAGGAGUAGUUACAUGUUCUUAGACACUGCCUAUGAGCUUUGGGAAGCUAUCUCUUAAACUUUCUCUGUUUCUGGUGAUAUGUCUAAGGCAUAUGACAUUCAUAAAAGAAUUCGUGAGCUAAGUCAAGGGAAGAGGACUGUGGCUCAAUAUUUUGCAGAAAUUAAUGCUCUUUGGCAAGAGCUUGAUAAUUACCGGGUUUUUUCAGCCAAAUGUCUAAAAGAUGCAACUGCUUAUCAAAAGUUUGUUAGUGUAGAUAGAGUUGUGGAUUUCUUAGCAGGUUUGAAUAUAGAAUUUGAUCAAUUUCGAGCACAGUUGAUUGAUCAGACACAUUUUCCAUCACUUCAAGAGGCUCGUGCCAGAGUCCAACAAGAGGAAACUAGGCGUUGAGUGAUGGUUCUAAAUUUUGUUGAUCGAUCAUCCAUGGUUGCUUUGUAUCCUAAGUUUGGCUCCACCAUUUAGUCUCUUGUUGAGAAGGAAUCCCGCGAAUGUGACUAUACAAGGGAUCGUUGUUUUAAGCUUCAUGGACGUCCUAAAAGACGAGGAGGUCGGUUUAGUAGUGUUCGUGUUCGUGGAUCUCAAGCCUAUGCGACUACUAUAACACUUCCUAUUGAUGCAUCCAGUGCUUCAGACACUACCACUGCACUUGCUCCUGAGGAAAUCUCAGCUUUUCGAAAAUUCUAUUCCAAAUCUACUUCUCAUUUUGAUCAGUCAGGUAUACAUUCUUGUUCUUUUAAUGUUUAAUCGAUUUGCCCUGUUUGGAUCAUUGACACAGGUGCUUCUGAGCAUAUGACUGGAUCCUCCACCCUCUUUACUUCAUACACGUCUUGUUCUGAAAAAGACGAGGUUCGCGUAGCUGAUGGUUCCCUCUCUUCUAUCUCUGGGAGAGGCUCUGUAGUUUGUACUCCUUCAUUGACAUUAUCAUCUGUUCUCGAUAUUCCUUCAUUUACUGCAAAUUUGUUAUCUAUUCAACAGCUUUCUAAAUCCUUAGACUGUUCAGUAACCUUUUUCCCAUCUCAUUGUGUUUUUCAGGACUUGGUGACGGGACAGAACAUUGGUAGUGGUAGUGCAGUUGAUGGUCUCUAUUAUUUAGAUGUUCCCUCGUCUAAUAUGUUCCUUACUCAGACUCUUCACUCUACUUUUGACUCCAGCAUGACUUCUCUCCAUCAAUGGAAUUGACGUUUGGGACAUACCCAUUUUUUAUAUUAGAGUCUUUGUUUCCAUCUUUAGUUAAACAAUGUAAUAAAACUCAGUUGUUGUGUGAACCAUGUGAAUUGGAAAAAUACAAACAUUUUGUUUAUUCUGCUAUUAACAGUCGACAUUCUGAAUCUUUUGUUACAUACAUACUGAUGUGUGGACCCUCUCGGGUUGUUUCUCAUUCUGGUCAUAGAUGGUUUGUUAGCUUUAUUGAUUGUCAUUCUCAUGUCACUUGAAUUUAUCUUCUUCGUUCCAAAGAUGAGGUAUUUGAUUGUUUCCAGUAAUUGCAUAAAAUGAUUCAAACCCAAUUUAAAGCUAAAGUAAAGAUUCUCCAUAGUGAUAAUGGUCGUGAAUAUAGUAAUAAUAAUGCUUUUGCAUCUUAUCUCUCUCAGCAUGGCAUUAUUCUUUAAACCUUCUAUGUCAACUCCAUAACAAAAUGGAGUAGGGGAAAGAAAAAAUCGACAGUUACUAGAGGUAGCCCGUACUCUUAUGUUCACUACGAACACACCUAAAUUUCUAUAGGGAGAUGUUCUGACUGCUGCAUUUCUAAUAAAUCGAUUUCCUUCUAGAAUUCUUGGGAACAAAAGUCCAUUCUCUUUUCUCCAACACACAACAAGUUAUUCUCCUUCGCCUCGAGUUUUUGGUUGUGUGAUAUGUUCAUGAUAAAUCUUCCGCUCAGGGAAAAUUAGAUCCCAAUCUCAUCAGUGUGUUUUUAUUGGUUAUUCUCCAACCCAAAAAAGUUAUAAAUGUUAUCAUCCUCCUUCACACAAAGUCUGUCACUCGGGAUGUAACUUUUUGAGAAUUGAAACCUUUUUAUUCUUUUUCACCUUCUCCUCAAGGGAUGUUAUUGAUGAGGAGAAACUUCCUAUUGAGGCUGGCAUUACAAGUUCUAUUAUACCAUCUCCUGUUUCUGUUGUUUCUGAUAAUUCUACACAGGGGGUUAAAGUUACAAGAGUCAUGCUAGACAGAAUGAGCCCGAGUUUGAGAACCUAUGUUCGAAGCGGCAAGAAUAAGGUCACCAUUUCUAUACCACUACACCAACCCUGCUCAGAACCUAGUCUGAUAAUGUUAAUUGUGAGUAUCUUAACACUACUUGUUCUUCUGAUGAUAUUGACAUUCAUAUUUCUCUUAGAAAAGGGGUUAAAGCUUGUACUCAACAUCCUAUCUCUAAUUUCUUAGCCUAUAAUAAAUUAUAUGCAUCCUACCACUCCUUUGUUUCUUCUUUGUUUCAAUAUAUGUACCUCAGGGGUGGAGAGAAACAAUUAGUGAUGAGAAUUAGAAACAAGCUAGAGGAGAUGAAUGCCCUGAAAAAGAAUGAUACAUGGGAACUAGUUUCUCUUCCUUACGGGAAAAAACUAGUUGAUUGAAAAUGAGUAUAUACAGUCAAACAGAAGUCAGAUGGGACAGUUGAGAGACUCAAAGUCAGGCUAGUUGCAAAAGGGUACACUCAAACUCAUGGAAUUGAUUACUAAGAGACAUUUUCUCAUGUGGCGAAGAUGAACUCUGUUCGUACAAUAAUCUCAUGUACAAUAAACUUUGGUUGGGAUAUACAGCAAUUGGAUGUGAAAAAUGUGUUCCUUCAUGGUGACUUGGAGGAGGAAGUAUACAUGAAAAUACCUUCUGAUUUUGCUUCAUCUGUCACCAAGGGUAAGGUGUGUAAACUGCGAAAGGCUUUAUAUGGUUUGAAACAAUCUCCCGGAGCCUGGUUUGGUAGAUUUCACAAAGCAAUGAUAAGAUUUGGGUACAAGCAGUCAAGCAGAUCAUACUCUAUUUGUCAAACAGAUAAAAGGUAAGACUACCAUUCAACUACCAUUCUUAUCGUUUAUGUUGAUGACAUUGUGGUGACAUGGGAUCAUAGAGAAGAGAUAGCUAAUCCCAAAGAGAAUCUAGCUAAAGAGUUUAAGAUUAAAGAUCUUGGUCUUUUGAAAUAUUUUCUCGGUAUCAAAGUUGGAAGAUCUUCCUGUGGGAUUUUUCUAUCUCAAAGGAAGUAUUUCCUUGAUCUUUUAACAGAAACUGACAUGUUGGGAUGUAAGCUUGAUGAUUCUCCUAUUGAAGUUAAUCAUCAUUCAGUAGGUGGCACAGGACCUACAGUUGAUAGAGAAAGAUAUCAACGUUUGGUAGGACGAUUGAUAUACAUUUCUCAUACUAUACCUGAUAUAUUUUAUGCUAGGGGAAUAGUGAGUCGGUAUAUGCAUGACCCUCGACAUUGUCACAUGGAAACUGUUUACAGAAUUCUGAGAUAUCUCAAGUCUGCUCCUGAAAAAGGUUUAUUGUUCACACCACGCGGUCAUAUGAGAGUUCAAGUUUUUUUCGACUCAGAUUAGGCUAGCUCUAUAGAGGAUCGUCGUUCUACGUCAGGUUACUGUUCAUUUGUUGGAGGUAAUCUUGUUACUUCUUACUGCCCGUGGUGACAAGAUCCAGUGUUGAGGCUGAAUAUCGAGUUAUUGCCUUGGGUAUAUGUGAACUAAUGUGACUUCGAACCUUGCUAGAAGAUUUGGGUGUUACAACUAAAAUGCUUAUGUAGAUAAUAAGGUAGCUAUUAGUAUUGCAAACAACCCAGUACAGCACGAAAGAACAAAGUACAUUGAGAUUGACAGACACUUCAUCAAAGAAAAGUUAACUAUUGGAGUGUUAUGUUGAUGGUAACUAGCAAAGUUAUGGUUCAACUAAGUCCAUCCUGUAUUACUAUGAAAACAUUUUAAUACUCCACCCAACCUCCAAAGAAUGGCUCGAGUGUGAAGAAAAAAUGUGUCCUCAAAAGCAUGUGUAUGACUAAGUACAAAAUUCAAAGGUAAAAAGUGGAAAAAAAGAAAAUAAUACCCCGUACUUGUAAUAUAAUUAUACGGAGUCCAAUAGUAUUGUAUUAGUCAUAUAAAAGGGAAAAGUUGGGACUUAUUCUAGGCUUUCUCAUCUAAUCUGACAUUAUUAAUUUGUUUGAAGUCCAAUUGCAGAAUAAGUUGAGGUUCAGGUUAAUAAAUAAAAAACAACAGUUCCUGUUCGAAGUUUGGAUGAUUUUCUACAUAGAAAAGACAAACCAAAUGUAAAAUACUAAUUUAACUGAGAUUAGCAAAAGAAUCAUCGCAAUUAAGAAAAGUUGACUAAUUGAGAAUUUUUAGUCUUUUCAAUGAAAGUUUGAAACCUCCUUCUCCAUAAAAUUAAGGGUUUGAAAAUUUAUCAUAAUACAAUACUAAAAGAUAACAAAAAUAUAUAACCAUUGCCUGUUUUAGCACUAAUCUUUGGCGAAAGUUAAAUAAUAGAGAAACAUAAACAUGCAGAGUGCAAAAGGAAUCCCUCCCCCAGUUUUAUCCUCCUUUAAUUUAACCACAAUAACUGCCAUUAAAGAAUCAUUUAUGUGCAUAGGAAUUAGGAAUGUCCAUCACUUGAUUAAGCUGACUCAGUAACAGAAAUUACUCGUAAUUUGAAUUCCAAGAACUUUAUGAAUUAUGAGAAAUCGUCAAAGAAAUUUAACAGCUAGUUAAGGAGUGUAUUACUAAUUACAUACACACGUAGAUGCUGCAAUCUCUAUAUAAUAUAAAGUAAAAGUUUAAAUCACAGGAAAGCAAGGAAGAGCAAAACAAGACAAAAAUAUAGAAAUUUUUUCCUCUUACAUUUAUUCUCAAACCAUCUAUUUCUGUAAAACAUAUCCAAUUUCCUUAUCAUCCAAUGUCUCAACAAAAAAAUAUAGUUAAAAACUUCUCUAAAGAAUACUAACCCGAAAUCUGGAACCUUUGUUUUGAUUAUCAUUUUGAUCAAAUGAUGAAAUGGCACAGUGCUUCUCCAAUAACCAUUUAUGCUGGCAUGAUUGAGCUUUACGUAUCAUAACUUUAAGCAGCUUAAGAAGUGAGUGAUAUCUGGGGCCCAAAACAAUCAAUUCAAAAACUCCUUGAGAAAUUAGAAGAGCAGCUUAACCAACAUGUAAGAGAUUAACAUAAGAUGAAUGGGCAACAAUCAUC
RNAcentral lists this long non-coding RNA (18494 nucleotides) under Panax ginseng (ginseng). Its description in RNAcentral is "long non-coding RNA (PGIN_LNC015517)". Lineage: Eukaryota; Viridiplantae; Streptophyta; Magnoliopsida; Apiales; Araliaceae. The record is from RNAcentral.